This 494-nucleotide ribosomal RNA is filed under the name Leptograpsus variegatus. Its description in RNAcentral is "partial 12S ribosomal RNA". The record is from RNAcentral. Lineage: Eukaryota; Metazoa; Arthropoda; Malacostraca; Decapoda; Grapsidae.
GAUUAUUUGCAAUAAAAGGUAAAAUUAGGUUGUUGCUAUAUAAUUUUUUUGGGGAGAUUAUAGCUGAAGCUAGAAAAAUUUAGUUAAAAACUAGGAUUAGAUACCCUACUAUUCUAAAUUAAAAGUUAAAAUACUAAAUUAGUAAUAGUUAGUUACUUAAAAAUUAAAAAAUUUGGCGGUGAUUUAAUCUCCCCAGAGGAACUUGUUUCUUAAUCGAUACACCACGUAGAAUCUUACUUGUUUUUGUAGAUAAAGCAGUUUGUAUACCAUCAUUAUCAGGUAAUUUCAAGAGAAAAAAUUACUAAGCUGUAAUUAGUUAUAAAAAUUAGAUCAUGGUGCAGCGUAUAAACAAGUUGAAAUGAGUUACAAUAAAUUAUUUUAUACGGAGCUGCAAAUAAAGAUUUGUUGUGAAGGAGGAUUUGGUUGUAUUACAAUAUUAAUAAGUUUGUAUGAUAUAGGUGCUAGAUCAUGUACAUAUCGCCCGUCGCUUUCGU